AUUGAACGCUGGCGGCAGGCCUAACACAUGCAAGUCGAGCGGAUGAAGGGAGCUUGCUCCUGGAUUCAGCGGCGGACGGGUGAGUAAUGCCUAGGAAUCUGCCUGGUAGUGGGGGAUAACGUCCGGAAACGGGCGCUAAUACCGCAUACGUCCUGAGGGAGAAAGUGGGGGAUCUUCGGACCUCACGCUAUCAGAUGAGCCUAGGUCGGAUUAGCUAGUUGGUGGGGUAAAGGCCUACCAAGGCGACGAUCCGUAACUGGUCUGAGAGGAUGAUCAGUCACACUGGAACGGAGACACGGUCCAGACUCCUACGGGAGGGAGCAGUGGGGAAUAUUGGACAAUGGGCGAAAGCCUGAUCCAGCCAUGCCGCGUGUGUGAAGAAGGUCUUCGGAUUGUAAAGCACUUUAAGUUGGAAGGAAGGGCAGUAAGUUAAUACCUUGCUGUUUUGACGUUACCAACAGAAUAAGCACCGGCUAACUUCAUG
This 484-nucleotide ribosomal RNA is filed under the name uncultured bacterium. Its description in RNAcentral is "partial 16S ribosomal RNA". It matches the Rfam family "Bacterial small subunit ribosomal RNA", at positions 30 to 507 of the family's 1533-position model. The record is from RNAcentral.